RNAcentral lists this ribosomal RNA (252 nucleotides) under uncultured bacterium. RNAcentral's name for it is "partial 16S ribosomal RNA". It matches the Rfam family "Bacterial small subunit ribosomal RNA", at positions 524 to 776 of the family's 1533-position model. The record is from RNAcentral.
UACGGAGGAUGCGAGCGUUAUCCGGAUUUAUUGGGUUUAAAGGGUGCGUAGGCGGGAUGCCAAGUCAGCGGUAAAAAUGCGGUGCUCAACGCCGUCGAGCCGUUGAAACUGGCGUUCUUGAGUGGGCGAGAAGUAUGCGGAAUGCGUGGUGUAGCGGUGAAAUGCAUAGAUAUCACGCAGAACUCCGAUUGUGAAGGCAGCAUACCGGCGCCCUACUGACGCUGAGGCACGAAAGCGUGGGUAUCGAACAGG